This 466-nucleotide ribosomal RNA is filed under the name uncultured bacterium. Its description in RNAcentral is "partial 16S ribosomal RNA". It matches the Rfam family "Bacterial small subunit ribosomal RNA", at positions 28 to 507 of the family's 1533-position model. The record is from RNAcentral.
GAUGAACGCUGGCGGCGUGCUUAACACAUGCAAGUCGAACGGAAAGGCCCAAGCUUGCUUGGGUACUCGAGUGGCGAACGGGUGAGUAACACGUGGGUGAUCUGCCCUGCACUUCGGGAUAAGCCUGGGAAACUGGGUCUAAUACCGGAUAGGACCACAUUUUGGAUGGUGUGGUGGAAAGUUUUUCGGUGUGGGAUGAGCUCGCGGCCUAUCAGCUUGUUGGUGGGGUAAUGGCCUACCAAGGCGUCGACGGGUAGCCGGCCUGAGAGGGUGUACGGCCACAUUGGGACUGAGAUACGGCCCAGACUCCUACGGGAGGCAGCAGUGGGGAAUAGUGCACAAUGGGCGCAAGCCUGAUGCAGCGACGCCGCGUGGGGGAUGACGGCCUUCGGGUUGUAAACUCCGUUCGCUAGGGACGAAGCGUUAUGUGACGGUACCUGGAGAAGAAGCACCGGCUAACUACGUG